AAGGUUUUAAGUUAUAUAAACUAUUAACCUUCAAAGUUUACAUUAAGCAAUAUUUUAAGCUUAAACCUUA
This 70-nucleotide transfer RNA is filed under the name Waoraniella jarlinsoni. RNAcentral describes it as "tRNA-Trp". Lineage: Eukaryota; Metazoa; Arthropoda; Insecta; Psocodea; Lachesillidae. The record is from RNAcentral.